Molecule: ribosomal RNA, 534 nt
Filed under: Colletotrichum gloeosporioides
Lineage: Eukaryota; Fungi; Ascomycota; Sordariomycetes; Glomerellales; Glomerellaceae
Description: eukaryotic LSU rRNA
Rfam family: 5.8S ribosomal RNA (bases 171-324)
Source: RNAcentral
GAGUUUACGCUCUACAACCCUUUGUGAACAUACCUACAACUGUUGCUUCGGCGGGUAGGGUCUCCGCGACCCUCCCGGCCUCCCGCCUCCGGGCGGGUCGGCGCCCGCCGGAGGAUAACCAAACUCUGAUUUAACGACGUUUCUUCUGAGUGGUACAAGCAAAUAAUCAAAACUUUUAACAACGGAUCUCUUGGUUCUGGCAUCGAUGAAGAACGCAGCGAAAUGCGAUAAGUAAUGUGAAUUGCAGAAUUCAGUGAAUCAUCGAAUCUUUGAACGCACAUUGCGCCCGCCAGCAUUCUGGCGGGCAUGCCUGUUCGAGCGUCAUUUCAACCCUCAAGCUCUGCUUGGUGUUGGGGCCCUACAGCCGAUGUAGGCCCUCAAAGGUAGUGGCGGACCCUCCCGGAGCCUCCUUUGCGUAGUAACUUUACGUCUCGCACUGGGAUCCGGAGGGACUCUUGCCGUAAAACCCCCCAAUUUUCCAAAGGUUGACCUCGGAUCAGGUAGGAAUACCCGCUGAACUUAAGCAUAUCAAUA